Molecule: long non-coding RNA, 429 nt
Organism: Leptinotarsa decemlineata (Colorado potato beetle)
Lineage: Eukaryota; Metazoa; Arthropoda; Insecta; Coleoptera; Chrysomelidae
Source: RefSeq, a predicted model, not a curated record
UUUCGCAAGUGUCACUUUAUAUGUCAAAAGUCCAAUUUUUUAAUAAUACUGAAGCUGACUUUUUCAAAACAGACCCCACAUAACCUCGUCCUCCAGACCAUCGACGCUUGUUUAAAGCCACUGACGACACUACCGUCGAUGAAAAAUUCGAAAGCUUCAAAUGCGAACCAGCCUCAUUCGAAUCAUCGUAUUGCCAAAUUAUGGUCUGCUAUAUUGUGCGUGUGUAAUUGUGUGCGAUUAAUGUGGGUUGCUUUCUGGAAUUUCGACAUGGAUGGACUAAAUUUUGUUCUCGAUUUCUGAUGAUACGUAGUGAAGUUGCGCAUAGUGAGAACAAAAAUUGUCGACAGUCAAAACAUGAAUUAUGUCCAAGGAAAUGAAUUGUGAGAACUAUAAAUCAAGAUUUAAAAAAUCGAUAAUUUUUAAAUGUAA